GGCUUGGUAGCUUAGCUGGUAUAGCACUCGUCGAUCAUACAAGGGUCGUGGGUACGAAUCCCAUCUAAGUGA
Molecule: transfer RNA, 72 nt
Filed under: Aedes aegypti (yellow fever mosquito)
Lineage: Eukaryota; Metazoa; Arthropoda; Insecta; Diptera; Culicidae
Rfam family: tRNA
About the family: Transfer RNA (tRNA) molecules are approximately 80 nucleotides in length.
Source: Rfam by way of RNAcentral